RNAcentral lists this non-coding RNA (30 nucleotides) under Mus musculus (house mouse). Lineage: Eukaryota; Metazoa; Chordata; Mammalia; Rodentia; Muridae. The record is from RNAcentral.
UGAAAGGAACUUUCCUAGAGUUAUGCACUG